RNAcentral lists this ribosomal RNA (445 nucleotides) under uncultured Rikenellaceae bacterium. RNAcentral describes it as "bacterial SSU rRNA". It matches the Rfam family "Bacterial small subunit ribosomal RNA", at positions 937 to 1382 of the family's 1533-position model. The record is from RNAcentral. Lineage: Bacteria; Pseudomonadati; Bacteroidota; Bacteroidia; Bacteroidales; Rikenellaceae.
ACAUGUGGUUUAAUUCGAUGAUACGCGAGGAACCUUACCCGGGCUCGAACGGUGCAGGAAUAUGGUAGAGAUAUCAUAGCUAGCAAUAGUCUGUAUCGAGGUGCUGCAUGGUUGUCGUCAGCUCGUGCCGUGAGGUGUCGGCUUAAGUGCCAUAACGAGCGCAACCCUUGUCGUUAGUUACCAUCAAGUAAAGUUGGGGACUCUAGCGAGACUGCCACCGUAAGGUGUGAGGAAGGGGGGGAUGACGUCAAAUCAGCACGGCCCUUACGUCCGGGGCGACACACGUGCUACAAUGGCCGGUACAGACGGACGCAAAGCCGCGAGGUGGAGCAAAUCCUAAAAAGCCGGUCUCAGUUCGGAUUGCAGGCUGCAAUUCGCCUGCAUGAAGUCGGAAUCGCUAGUAAUCGCAGGUCAGCAUACUGCGGUGAAUACGUUCCCGGGCCUU